CAGAGUUGCAAAACUCCCUAAACCAUUAUAAACGUUACCUUAUACCGUUGCUUCGGCAGGCGGACCGGGUCCUACCCGGCGCCCCUCGGCCCCUCGCGGGGCGCCCGCCGGAGGUAAACCAAACUAUUACAUUGUAUAGCCUCUCUAAGUCUUCUAUACUAAAUAAGUCA
RNAcentral lists this unclassified non-coding RNA (170 nucleotides) under uncultured Chaetomium. Its description in RNAcentral is "sequence contains ITS1". The record is from RNAcentral. Lineage: Eukaryota; Fungi; Ascomycota; Sordariomycetes; Sordariales; Chaetomiaceae.